This 907-nucleotide ribosomal RNA is filed under the name uncultured bacterium. RNAcentral's name for it is "bacterial SSU rRNA". It matches the Rfam family "Bacterial small subunit ribosomal RNA", at positions 33 to 930 of the family's 1533-position model. The record is from RNAcentral.
ACGCUGGCGGCAUGCUUUACACAUGCAAGUCGGACGGCAGCACAGAGAAGCUUGCUUCUUGGGUGGCGAGUGGCGAACGGGUGAGUAACAUAUCGGAACGUACCGAGUAGUGGGGGAUAACUGAUCGAAAGAUCAGCUAAUACCGCAUAGUCUUGAGAGGGAAAGCAGGGGACCUUCGGGCCUUGCGCUAUUCGAGCGGCCGAUAUCUGAUUAGCUAGUUGGUGGGGUAAAGGCCUACCAAGGCGACGAUCAGUAGCGGGUCUGAGAGGAUGAUCCGCCACACUGGGACUGAGACACGGCCCAGACUCCUACGGGAGGCAGCAGUGGGGAAUUUUGGACAAUGGGCGCAAGCCUGAUCCAGCCAUGCCGCGUGUCUGAAGAAGGCCUUCGGGUUGUAAAGGACUUUUGUCAGGGAAGAAAAGGCUGUUGCUAAUAUCAGCGGCUGAUGACGGUACCUGAAGAAUAAGCACCGGCUAACUACGUGCCAGCAGCCGCGGUAAUACGUAGGGUGCGAGCGUUAAUCGGAAUUACUGGGCGUAAAGCGAGCGCAGACGGUUACUUAAGCAGGAUGUGAAAUCCCCGGGCUCAACCUGGGAACUGCGUUCUGAACUGGGUGACUAGAGUGUGUCAGAGGGAGGUAGAAUUCCACGUGUAGCAGUGAAAUGCGUAGAGAUGUGGAGGAAUACCGAUGGCGAAGGCAGCCUCCUGGGAUAACACUGACGUUCAUGCUCGAAAGCGUGGGUAGCAAACAGGAUUAGAUACCCUGGUAGUCCACGCCCUAAACGAUGUCAAUUAGCUGUUGGGCAACUUGAUUGCUUAGUAGCGUAGCUAACGCGUGAAAUUGACCGCCUGGGGAGUACGGUCGCAAGAUUAAAACUCAAAGGAAUUGACGGGGACCCGCACAAGC